AAUAUGCAGCUAAAUCAAAAUACCGACAAAUCAAAACACCGACAAAUCAAAAUAACGACAAAUCAUACAAACUCCGUAAAAAAUAUGUUUGAAAAAUAUUUACAACAUCAAGUUCUAUAGUCAAGGACUUGGAAGAACGCAAAAAGAAGUUCAACAUAAAAGAACUGGGCACACCCAGGUGUUGGUCUGACCGAGGGUAGUUUUUUUGAAGCGCGGCCAAAGGCCGCCAACGCAAAAAGAAGUUCAACACAAAAGAACUGGGCACACCCAGGUGUUGGUCCGGCUGAGGGUUAUUUUUUUUAAGCGCGGCCAAAGGCCGCCAACGCAAAAAGAAGUUCAACACAAAAGAACUGGGCACACCCAGGUGUUGGUCCGACCGAGGGUAAUUUUUUUGAAGCGCGGCCAAAGGCCGCCAACGCAAAAAGGAGCUCAACGCAAAAUAACUGAACACACUCAGGUGUUGGUCCGACCGAGGGUAAUUUUUUUGAAGCGCGGCCAAAGGCCGCCAACGCAAAAAGGAGCUCAACGCAAAAUAACUGAACACACCCAGGUGUUGGGCUGACCGAAGGUAAUUUUUGAAGCGCGGCCAAAGGCCGCCAAUGCAAAAAGGAGCUCAACGCAUAAUAACUGAACAAACCGAGGUGUUGGUCCGACCGAGGGUAAUUUUUUUGAAACGCGGCCGAAGGCCGCCAACGUAAAAGAAGUUCAAGACAAAAGAACUGGGCACACCCAGGUGUUGGUCCGACCGAGGGUAAUUUUUUUGAAGCGCGGCCGAAGGCCGCCAACGCAAAAAGAAGUUCAACGCAAAAGAACUGAGCACGCCCAGGUGUCGGUAUUAUGAGUUGUCGGUGUUUUGAUUUUUCGAUAUUUUGAUUUGUCGGUGUUUUGAUUUGUCGGUAUUUUGAUUUGUCGGUGUUUUGAUUUGUCGGUGUUUUGAUUUGUCGGCAUUUUGAUUGUCGGAAUUAUAAAUUUCGAGAUUUUGAUUGUCGGCAUUACGUUAUACACCCCUUUUGCGUUGAAUUUUUUUUUGCGUUGGCGGACCAACACCUGGAUGUGCUCAGUUCUUUUGCGUUGAACUCUUUUUUGCGUUUAA
This is a long non-coding RNA of Bactrocera dorsalis (oriental fruit fly), 1093 nucleotides long. RefSeq lists it as uncharacterized. The record is from RefSeq and is a predicted model, not a curated record. NCBI's taxonomy places the organism in Eukaryota, Metazoa, Arthropoda, Insecta, Diptera, Tephritidae. The transcript has 3 exons.